RNAcentral lists this transfer RNA (68 nucleotides) under Camelus bactrianus (Bactrian camel). It matches the Rfam family "tRNA". Rfam says of the family: Transfer RNA (tRNA) molecules are approximately 80 nucleotides in length. Their secondary structure includes four short double-helical elements and three loops (D, anti-codon, and T loops). RNAcentral also lists the same sequence under 3 other names. Lineage: Eukaryota; Metazoa; Chordata; Mammalia; Artiodactyla; Camelidae. The record is from Rfam by way of RNAcentral.
AGGUUUAACUCAAGUGGUAGAGUGCUUGCUUAGCAUGCAUGAGGUCCUGGGUUCAAUCCCCAGUACUU